GACCAUAUGAUCUAAAGGUUAUGAUAUGACUUCUUCGUAGUCGUUAUACGAGUUCGAAUCUCGUUGUGGUUA
This is a transfer RNA of 72 nucleotides. It matches the Rfam family "tRNA". Rfam says of the family: Transfer RNA (tRNA) molecules are approximately 80 nucleotides in length. Their secondary structure includes four short double-helical elements and three loops (D, anti-codon, and T loops). The record is from Rfam.